Molecule: long non-coding RNA, 1581 nt
Filed under: Suricata suricatta (meerkat)
Lineage: Eukaryota; Metazoa; Chordata; Mammalia; Carnivora; Herpestidae
Description: lncRNA (ENSSSUG00005007979.1)
Source: RNAcentral
CGACCGCGCGAGAAACGCUCGGGGCACUUACUCCUGGGGGCGGAGGAGGCCCCGCGCCCUCCACUCCAAGGGCCUCGCAGGAGGAAGGUCUUCGUCCCACUGUUUAGGACUUGGCCUUACACAAGAGAAGCCUUGCUCGGGAGCCUUCCGAGGAUUUUAAAUCCUCCUGGGGCAGGGUUAGGCCUGGGGCUGGCUUCGAGGUCUCGGGUUUUGAGACGCCAGGGAGGAAUUCUCAGACUGAGGCCGCACGCUUUCCGAGCGCGCUUCCCGGCGUGUGCGCGUCGGUGAGGGGCUAUCUGCAGGCGCGAGUGCACAAAAGGUAGCGCGAGUCUCUUCCCAGGCGACUCGAGAUAAGAGGAAACGAGAGCGGGGUUUUCUGACUUCCAACUCAUUAGGGACCAGACCAGGCCUACAGGAGAGGAAAAAGCAGAAAACCCACCUGCCUCACUGCUUCUGUGCCAAGUCCAGGAAUGGUGUUUGCCCUGCUACACUUGUGAGCCAGCAACAAAGGAGGAGGCCAUCAGAAGUCAAGACUUUAAUAGUUACCUAGAGAGUCCACUGUUCACCUGUUUACCCUGGAUUUAGAACGAUUUCUUAUGUUUGCUGAUGUCUGAGAGGCGAUGGCUUAUUCCAUUUAUACCCAGGGCAGCCCACUCGGUCAUCCUCAAGCUUUUAGAAGGAAAACUGCCCAGUCAGCGGCAAUUUAGACUCAAGGGAACAACUCCAGGGAUGAAGUGCCACAGUCAAGCUGGUCAAAACAUCUUCUUUUCAUCCUUCUUCCCUGUGCUGGGAUACUAUAUGCUGCUGACUGUGUGAACAAGUGACAAGGACUGCCAGCCACAGAAACUCUGAAUCACAGGAAGAAAUACGCCAGCUGCAGCCCAGUUCCAACUUCUAAAAUGAAGGGAUAGGGAAGGCAAAGUGCUGGAUUCCGGAGAAGUACUGACAUCUUCUAUGCACAUCGGUGUGAGCUCAAUUUCAGGGCUCAGAAGGACUUCAGCAGACACUUUGAUACCCCCAGGGAAUCAGGCUGUGGGACAGGCUGUGACAGGCUGAGGAGGGCCUGGCUAACUUAGCAGGAAAAGUCGGGGAAGCAAGCUAUGGCAGAGCUUGGGGCCAGGCUGGUGGCAGCGUGUACACCAAUACAGUCUGUUUGUUUAAGUGGAAGGAAAAUUGAUGAACAAAGUCUGCACAGAAUAUUUAGGCAGUCAGAAAUCAAACAUUCAGAGAACCAAUCACACUGAGUUUAAUUGAGGUGGAUCUCACAGAGUCUCAGAGGCCCCUUGCCAAGCAGUAAGAAGAGACUGGGUAUUGAGGUCUUUGUCACUAGUCAUAAGAAAAUCUACUCUCCUAAAUAGAAAUGUGUUGGAUUUUUGGGUGCCUGGGUGGCUCAGUUAAGUGUCUGACUUCGGCUCAGGUCAUGAUGUCACAGCUUGUGGGUUAGAGCCCCGCAUUGGGCUCUGUGCUGACAGCUCAGAGCCUGGAGCCUGCUUUGGAUCCUGUGUCUCCCUUUCUCUCUAACCCUCCCCUGCUCAUGUUCUCUCUCUCAAAAAUAAAUAAACAUUAGAACAAAAAAGAAAU